AGGGGUGUAGCUCAGCUGGUAGAGCAUCGGUCUCCAAAACCGAGUGUCGUGGGUUCGAGUCCUGCCACCCCUGCCA
Molecule: transfer RNA, 76 nt
Filed under: Patescibacteria group bacterium
Lineage: Bacteria
Description: tRNA-Trp
Rfam family: tRNA
About the family: Transfer RNA (tRNA) molecules are approximately 80 nucleotides in length.
Source: RNAcentral